Molecule: transfer RNA, 69 nt
Filed under: Marmota marmota marmota (Alpine marmot)
Lineage: Eukaryota; Metazoa; Chordata; Mammalia; Rodentia; Sciuridae
Also listed under: 1 other name
Rfam family: tRNA
About the family: Transfer RNA (tRNA) molecules are approximately 80 nucleotides in length.
Source: Rfam by way of RNAcentral
GGUGUUGUGGCUCAGUGGUAGAGUGCUCACCUAGCUCAUGUGAGGCACUGGGUUCGAUCCUUAGCACCA